CAAGAUCUGAAGGAAAGAGGACAGCUGGGAACCUGUACUUCUGCAGAGAUAUUUUACAUAACAGAGAACUCUUGUUUUCAAGAAGCAGACAAGAAGAAUUACCAUGUGGACUCUCUGCCUUCAGAUUCAAUUUUUAAAAUACACGACCAGAAAUAGACAAAGAGGGGUACGUGUUAGGAGUACUAUCAAACAGCAAGAUGUCUCAGUAUCAUACCUGCAUCCUUUAAGCCUUUAUUUAGCUUCACCAAUGACAAAGCCUGCUAAGGCCCUCCGGUAUAGGAAAAUAGCCGUAACAGCCUGUUUAGUAAAUGAGAGAAGCACAGUGUCUCCAAGGGGCCUGGCCUGAGUGAGCAUCCAGAAUCCCAGAAAGUCAAGAAAUUUGAAGGAAGUCAGACUUGAUUUAAUUCUUUUUUACUAUAAAUCUCGUCUCAGAGAAUGAUUAACUGGGGGAGAGACAUAAAUGGCAAAGUUUGAUCAAGGGAGCUGCUGUCAGGGUACCAUCUAGAUAAAUUAGGAAAAGAAUGCUCAGGUUUCUAUGAAAGAAGACUAAUGACAUUAAGUCAAGAUGAAAUAGAAAGGAGCAGCAUUGCAGGCUGAAAAUCAUAAAAGACCAGCCUGCCCUGACAAGAAACCUUGAGAAACUUCCUGAACUGAAAAGUAACUGGAAAUGCUAAGGAAUGGCUUUCUGUAAAUGUCUGGUCUUGAAGUUACUCAGGAGUGAAGAUGUUCCAGGCAUAAAAUUUGCUUCUCAGUACCUGUCAAGACAAGUGAAGGAAUAUUCUAGAAGAAUCUGAAACAGCAGGUGUUAGUAACAGCUCUACACACUGCAGGUGUUCUGCAUCUGAUGUGCUCUUUGUAGUUAAUGGGGAUCAAUCCUUUCCCAUAAAUCUGAAGCAGUCCCACCUGGAGGCAAAUAGACCAAGUGGAUAAAAGGAGGGUGUAAAGUGCCUGGGUAGUAAAUGUUUGAUUCAGAGAGUCCUUUUGUAAGGAAGUGGGUAUGGUAGUAUUGUGGAAGGAGUGGUGAUCUUAGCUAAGAUCAAGGAGAAGCUUUACAAGAGACAUAAGUAUAUUUGUACAGAGAUCUUUCUCAGAAGUGUUUGCAUUGCAAGUGACAUCUGGCUGACAGGAACUUGGAGAAAUGGGAUACAAAGUGAAUGCUGCAGUUACCACAGCAUCAUAUUUAUCAAAAGGCUUAAGGCACAACGUCAUGGUGAAAUUCUAAGGAGGCAAUCAUUGUAACCCCUGGGAGAGAAAGAAGAAAUAAUGGUUAAUCCACUACUGCACAGAGUCCUAAAUGCAGUUGUGCAGCAGUGCUGAUAAAAGACCAAAACAGCAUCCUGUCAGACAUCCAGCACCCUUCAUCAAAGGACAGUGCUCUCAGAGGCCAUGGUGUAACCUACGUGGAGCAGGGUGUUCCCUCCCACCCACAGAUGUGCCCUCCUGCCGCGUCCCCUGCACGGGUGCUGCAGCUCAUGUGGCUGCACAGCUGAGACAGACACAGCCACCAAUCCUGCUGAAAACCAACCCAGCCCAGCGAAGAUUUGUCUCCAGCCAGAUACCUGAUGUAUUACUUCAGCAGCAAAUUCAACAAGGCCAAGAUGUCUUAAUUUUCCUUCAGAGCAAGAACUGUAGGAGCAGUGUGAUGGAAGUAUUGGUCUUCUGUGGCCAGCCGGCGAGAACCCAUCAACAGCUGUGAUGAGCAGAGCAGACACAGGGAGACAGGAGGCAGCUGAAGCCAAAGAGGACCCACGCCUGGAGCUCUGUGUGUGUGAUUGGAGCAGAGAGAGGCCAGGACCCAAGGAAAUCCCAGCAGCAAGGGAAAAAAACAGAUUGACUCUCAGUGACUCAUUUAGCUCCUGGAUUGGACAGAUCUCUCCCCUGCUGGCAAUUUGGCUGAGCAUCAAUGGACAGAUACCAGGAUGAAUAGCUUAAAAUAAUUAGGAGUUGAGAAUCUGCAAAACUGCUAGCCAUCCAAUUCUUUACUGUGCAAUGUGAGGCACAAAAAAGAAAUUACAUUUAGGUUAUUAAAUAUUAAGUCAGUGGAUUUACCUCCGUUUGGUCCAGAACAGGAAACUGGAUAAAAUUCAACAUUUAUUUCAUUGUGUCGAUGGCCUGUUUAUCACUGAGCGGGAAAGAAGGUCAAGAGGAAUUUGACCAAUGAUGGCAACUGGGACUACGUGAUAUAAGAAUGGUAUCUCAGCAUUUGCUCUCUGAAGAAACACUGGUUCUCAAUGUGAAAUGAAGUUGCUGCACACUUACCAGUGGUGAUCAAGGUAUACAGCUGAGGAUGGUUCCCCAGCCCCUCAAAAACUUCUUGUCUGCCAGAGUCAUGGAUGAAGCACAGCAGAUCCAAGGUGAAAAAUCCAGGGAAAGAAUGGAAAGGUGGAAAAUCCAGGAAAAGAAUGGAAAGGGUGAGAUGGCUGUAUCUGUUCAGUGCGGCCUAGUACGCGUUCCAGGAGCUCGGAGCAAAUUCUUUCCUUACGUGAGUUCGUACUACUCUGUCAGCUUGCCUGGCAUUACAUCACUGUGAUGAGGUGCAGAGUUUGUUCUCCUUUGCUGGUAAAUUUCCCUUAGUUUCAAAAAGACUAGUGAAAUACGUAACUGCAUUUAUAAUUUUCAGUCUGCGUCUCCAAGCUUACUAGUGACAGAGGUACUUAAAGUGACUUAAACUGUGAAUGUGAUUUGCUGUGGUGCCCAUUAGUGUUAGUAGAGGCUCUUAAUAAUAUUGGUCAGAAAACUUUACCUAUUACUUCUUUGACCCUGGCUGACUGCAGAGAGAACCUCUUACUUUUCAUAGCUUUAGAUCGAGAUGGAAGAGUUCUUCUGUGUAAGGGCUGUGACAGGAAGGCUCAGCAGGCUGAAUUGCUCCACUCCAAGUGCUCCUACAGCCCUGCCCCACUCCCUGCUCCUACCAUCUUAGGCGCUGCUUCUAUACAGAUAAUAGACACUUCACUUUCCAGAUCAAAUUCACCCACUGAAUCUGCCUCUUGUUUAUUUUAAGUAUACCUCUUAAGUUUGAUGAGAUGUCUGGCUUGCACAGGAGCUGUUCUGUGGUCACUGUAGAUUGUCACCUGGCAGGGCUGGGUUGGAGCUUGGAAGCUUUGGGCCCAAAAUCUUGGAGCCUGCACCAUAGUCUCUCAGCCAUCCUACCAAUGCCAGGGCAUAGCAUAUUUCCUCCUAUAAACAACAAUCUGCAAGGCCAAAUUUUGGUAAUAAAUAGUUAAUCUCUCUCAUCACCAGUAGAGAUCAUUGUUGUUGCCAGUGCUGGUUCAGGUUCCUCAAGUAUUCCCAAUUUACCUAACAAUCCUCUAAAUGUUUCACAGGUGUUUCCAGGACUACUGUGGCUGCACAAGUUCCAGAAAAUGUGGAGUAAAGUGCCUGCUUUCACUACUCAGGUUCAAGCACAUUAAAAGGAUUUGAGGAAAUUCAUUCAGUGCUGUGCACAAUGAAGAAGAAAUGGGAACCAUUCUGAUGAGUUGCAGGCUCUGGAGCAGCUAAGUUUGAGGAAAGGUCACUGGAGUGAAGCAAACCCUCAGGAGAGGGACCUGCACUCACGUGGCAGCAGGAGCUCCCCAUGGCACAUCCUCCCCAGCAUGGGCCCAACUGCUGACUUAGCUCUGUGGACGUCUUCCCCCCAGCACCCUUCUACGGCACCACGGCAGCAUUUCAGUGGUUUCUGCAGCCUGCAGUAGCCUCCAAAAUACCUGCGGCAAAGAGAGCGCGACCACGGUGCGGGAGCAGUACUAGGUCAGCAGAGCUCGUUCACGGUACAGCAACAAUAUGGUUUACAGGAAAAUGGAGAUCGAGCACAUCCACAAAAGCGGUGGCUGGUUGGGAUCGCAUCGGUGAAGUGGCAUGCUCGCUGGUAAGCAGGCUGGAGAAGAACAGCACUUUGCCACCCACAGCACACGCGGGGCUUCCUUCAGGGGGAAGGGAUGCAAACAAACCCCGUGGCAGUCACUGAAUGCUCCCAGAAAGCAUGCAACAUCAUCUAGCUCAAACACCUGCCCAAGAAGUUCAAACAUUUUUUUAAAGAUGCAAGUGGCAAUAUUGCCCUAUAAAUUAAUUUUUUUUUCCUUCUUCUUCAUCUUUUGGUCUCUUUCCUAAACACAGAGGCCAGAAGGCUAUGCUUAAAUAAUUCAUUUACAAAUUUGCAAUAUCUUUUUGAACUAUAGCAAUUAAACGGAAAAUAGAAAAAUCAGCUCAGCAUCCUGUUUGGAUGUAAUUAAAGGUAUAAUCUGUUCCAUUUGAAUACUCCAGUGCUUACCCUUCUUAAAACAACAAAUAAGAAUAGUAGCUCAUUUGCAAUAUGUUUUUUUUCAAGCCAUCUAAAAAGACUAACUGAUGAAGCAAGAAUAAUAAUUUUUAAAUGUGGCCUAAGCACAAAAAUACCAGCUACAGCUUUCAAAUGAUUGCUGCAGAUCCCAAGUCUGAUGGGAGUUCAAUAACAAGGGGUAUAAGCUUUAUGGCAAAACACUGAAGUCUUCCACUAUUUCAUAUCAGCAUCUUGCUAUGGCUGAUAUAAUUACCUAUCAAACACAUCAGUGGAAUGACUAUCAGAGGAUAUCAAAAAAAUACGUAAGUCGGAUGCAUAUCAGCUCAGUCUUUUAGAGGCUGUUUGAUCUCAAGUUUUUUUUGUAAGAAUAAAAGACAAAUACUGCAUUCCUUUCCCCUUUGUUUUCUAUAAGCAGCCGAUGAUUUUACAGCACAAUAAAAUUAGACUAUUAUUGGCUAGCUUAUGAGUUCUAGCUGGAUCUUUUUCCUCCUACUGGACAUCUCUCUGCUGCUUCUCAAAGAAAUUGAAGUCAGGUGUAAAGUUAAUAUCUGCCUUGUUCAUUUAUUCUUCUGUAAGCAAUCAAGAUUUCCCCAAAUCACAGGGCAAUCUCUUCCGUUUCGAGAAAGAAUAUAGGCCCUGUUCUCUCCAUUUAGUUUAACAAAACAACUGGCAGAAGUUCAAUGGAACUGAUGAUUAUUCCAAGAGGUUUCGGCGAACCACCGAUGUUAGCGGAAGGCUCGCUUGAAAGAUCCCCUAAGAGGAAAAGUGCAUGGAUAUUUCAAAAUGUAAUUAACAGCUUAUUCCAACAACACAGAAAAGAAACAGCGGCUGUGCUGGCUGCAGAGGAACCCGGCUGCACGGCACGGAGCGCUUCGGCAGCCACCACUCCCGUGAAAGCAAGGGACACAGCCAGCAGCAGCGGGGACUGUGCUGUGCCCUGCUCCCCGACACCGAGAAGCACCAGGGCUGACCCUGUCUGCACGGUUGCCUUGUGUGCUGCUGCCUUUGCUGUGCUUGGCAGUGCAGCUGAUGCUCUCAUGGGCAGGGUCUUGGGGUCCAGGACCUCACUGGAGAGACUAACUCCUUUCAAAAGGUCCACUUUCUCUCCACUGUCAUGCUCUCUCUCUGAAUUCCUUUGGGGCAGUAAUUUCUCAAGCUUAGUUUUGGUCUUAAUGCUGUGGUUUGAAGGACUGAAGGACUGUUUCAGCAAAAUUGUUGAGCUUUUCUUUUUUUUUUUUUUUUAACUGAAGUAUAUAGCAGUGACUAAGCAAAAUACUUUUUUUUUUUUAACAUUGUUUAACCAUUUAAAAAUAAUUCAGUUUUCAAACUCAGUGUUUUUGUCAGCUGGUGUGUACUUCUAACGUGGCAGGGAACAGAUUUAAACAAAUAAAAUGGUUGUUAAAAUGCGGGAGCGAUAGGAACAAUAUGGCACAGUGCUCUGAGAGACCUGUGUUUGACCAGUAAGUACAAGAGAAGUUAAAGCUCAAAGCUCAUAUUUUUUGAAGGUUAUUCAGCACCGUUUAAAAUUUCUAGCCAUCCCAGGUGUGCGUGCUUUGCUGUUUGAAAACCCCAUCCCUUUGCAGGGCCAGGCCUGCAGAGGCUAGGGACCUUCCUCCGGUGCUGCCCUGCUGUGGGGCCAGCAGACGUUGCUGGACCCUUUGCCUCUUCCCUGACCCAGCGUGGCAUGGCCUCUGUAUGGCUUGCACUUCGCUACUGUUCUGCAGCUUGCUGCUUUUCAUACAGUAGCAUUGAGAGGCCUCACGUAAAAAAAAACAACACCAACAUACUACUAAUAAUAAAAACCCAGCCCGUGGGUGCCAGGCUGUUGCUUGCUCUUCAGCAGAGAAGCCAGAAGUGAGCAGGGGUCAGGGAGCACCACGCGGUGCCUCACCAGGCAAAGACUUAAACCCACGGCUAUCAUUUCCCAACCAUCGAGCCGAACAGCCCCCUGCACGCCAAAAAAACAUUUUUGUGGACGUAACUAUAGACAUGCGGCUAAAGGCAACACAACAACAGAACCUGGCUUGUUAAAAAAUACCCACAGAGUGUGGGGAAAAAAAUAAAAAUCUUCAACACAGCCUCGUCUGUCUCCAGCAAACAGGGCUUGUUUCAGGCCCUGGGCUCUGGCGCAGGCCCGAGCCACAGCGGGUGAGUGAGCUCCUGGCUGUCGGGCGCGCUGGUUUUGCAGAGGCUCGCACGCAGGCAUCGCCCUGCCCUUCGCCACCAGCCAGGGCCUGGCUUGGCCGCCUCACGGGCACUCGUGCCACCCCUUUGCCACCCGGCACAGCAGCCCGCCUGGCCGCCCCCGGCUGGGAUGGCGUGGCAGCUGUGGGACACGGGCCAUUCCCCCCCCCAAGGAACAUCUCUGAGAGACACCAGCGCUGCGGAACGAAGCCACGCUUAUCUCAUGCAUGCCACAGGUGUGAUGUCAUCCCCUCUGGCGAAGGAACGAGGAUGUCUACAGCCUCAGCCGCGCAAAAAUGCAGGAACUGAAGUUAACGUGCCUCAGACUUUGUUAAAAUAUGGUGAUAAUUAAGAAGUAUAAUUACCACUACAAAGUUAAUUCCUCUUUGAGUUCUUACAAACAAGUUUUUAAUUUGCACCGAACAUUUACAUUUCAGAUGCGCAGUCACCCAGGCGCAGCCGCCACGCGGCCCCGGGCUCUGCCCUGCACGGGGCCGGAGGCACUGUGGGUCCCCAGGGAGGGCCCGCUGCCACCACCUCUGCUGCCACCACCUCUGCUGCCACCAGCACUGCUGCCACCACCGCCGCUGCCACCGCCACCGCCACCACCAAGGCCUGGGCACAGCCGGUAAGACGGUGCGAGUGCCUUAAACUGUCUCACCUGUUCUGUUGUACAGACGUGAAAAUAGCAGCCAUGUCAGAUAUAUGCCUGCUUUUUAUUAAAAAACAAAAACAAAGAGCUUAUGGGGUAAUUGAUUGCUUUCGUCUAGUCUUUUAUUAGUUGUGAUUAAGGAGCUAUAGUAGCCCUGUUUACACAUCUCCAACAAGUCAGGACCUGCAGCGCGUUAUUGGCUUGCGGCCCACAGCUCGCAGUCCAUUUGCCACAGAAUCAAUCUGAAGUGGAAAACAUCCCCCUAGGAAGCGCGCACAUCCCUGCUUACAUGGGAGCAGAAAGCAGCAAUAACUGCAGGCCCCGCACGCUGCGAGCCCAAGGUACGGGCCUGCUGCUGCCCGCAGCGCGCGCGUGCUGAGGGGCGCGGGGCUGAGGGCUCGUGCCUACAGCCCAACCGGGGACACAGGCGAGCUGCUGCACUUCGCUGCCGCUCACAGCUCAGGCUCCGCGGAUAUGAACCGAGAGCUCCUCACUGCUUAACAUGCAGGCAAAGCCCUGCCAAUCUAAAAUGGCUGAUCAGUAAUACUUUAAUUGCACUUUCAUAGAAACAAAUUGCUAUUUAAUUGCAAUAAGCUCUUCUGUGGCUUCGCUGGACUGACAAUAGGCAUACACCUGGUACUAAAACGUAACAAGCAGCAACCAUGGCUAUCUGGUAGUUGAUGUAGGGUAGGCUGAGGCAGUGACACCAGUCCCGGAACACACCAUUUCACACUGAAGAAGUAUUUAAAAAAAAUAUAUACAUGCAUGUCCCGGUCUCAAUUUCAUUUACUUCAAUAAAGCUGUUCAGAACAUAGGUCCUUGGAAAAGCUUAACACCUAAUACCAGCCAAGGAAUUUUGAUAUAAAGUUUAAAUUAAAAUGAUCUUUUGAAAUGCCUGCUAGCAAGUCACAUUAUGCUAGUAUCAGAUUUAUUUAUUUUUUUAGUAUUUUUCCUAAAAUUAGAUGACGCGAAUUUUAACUGUGUUAACUAACAGGGAAAAACUGAGACAAACGCAGUGUGGUUAAUAUUCUAAAGAUGUGACUUAAUUUCAUAGGCUUCAUUUUGGUAAGACAUUCUCAUUUUAUAUUUCAUAAGAUACUGCAUAACCUGUUAAAAUAUUUAAAGAUAAAUCAUGUAGGACUGAAAAGACAGUAUCUUGUUGCAAACAGAAUUUGGUUUGGAAAGGCUUAAUGUCCCACUGCCUGCCAGGAUGCGUAAAUCUCAUAACUAGACAGCUGGAUAGGUAAAAACAUUAAACCCAUUUAGAGGGCAAUCUUUUUACAAAAUUGUUUCAUUAAUAAGAGUGACAAUUUAUAUGAUUGAGACGUUUAGAUGCAGUAUAGACAGAGCAUUUUAUCCAGGUUCACCAGGAUGAUUUCAGAUUAGUAAUAUUUCCUUUGAUUUUUUUUAACAGCAUUCAUUUUUGAAAGUGAGGGAAGCUCUUACUGAAUGAUUAUUUGUAUGACUUUUCAGCAGCACUAAAUGCAGGAGGUGUAUUUCAGGCUCAGCCUAGCAAAUGCAUGUGAUAAAAGGUGAACAAGUACACGUUUCUCCUUACAGAUCUUAAAAAAAAGUCAUUUUUCACAUAUGGACAAAUCUAAGUGUUUCCAGUAGCCUUCUACCCACACCUAACAUCCCCAUUACAGCAUGUUUUAUUGUCUGCAAUGCCUCUAGUUUCAAGAAAGUGUUUUACCUAAAGGAAGAAUACUACUUAAAAUAUGUUCUAUUGUAUAUUCAUAGCUCCAUUAGUCCUCCUCCAAUUUAGCACAUCAAAGCAAAGGCUUCAUCACUUGCAUGUGGAUUAUGCUAACAUGAGUGACAUUUGUAAUCUUAUAGGUCUGCAACUUAAGAAAUGCUUUUAAAGUAAGCUAUUAAAUAGGUAUCUGUGCUUUACAAACGAGUCAUAUAAUAGUUUAUUUAAAGCUGUUAAUGAACUUCAACCUCUACAUCACUAAAUGCUAUACUACUAGAAGUUAUUAGCUAUCUUCUUAGCACUUCUAGGUUAUAUUGGACAACCAAAAAUCUGUACAUGUUAGAUUUAAACACGGUACCUUGAGUGCUUAUACCGAAAGAAUAUAAAAAGAUGUCUGCAGACUCACUAAUACUUGAAUUCUAUAUUCAUAUGACUUCAAGUGUCUUUUCAAAGAUAUUCAAGCAGCACAAUUUGCAAGACUCUUACCUAAAGACUUUAAUGCCAGCUCAAAAACCUUACAAACUUAUUUUAAAAGUAUACGUAAGUGCAUUUAAUUAAAAAAAAACAUACAUAGCUUCAGUAGUUUUAUUACUUUGUAUGUUAUGCGAGUGUUUUUUUGUCUUUACUGUCUGAUGCUGUACACUACAUCAUUUUAUUUUCUCUGCAACAGUCCAAUUUUUGCACAGGCACUGAAGUGUUAAAGAAGAAAUUCAGCAGACCUCUAAUAUACUAGAAAUCAAGAAGUAAGAUCUGAAGAAAAAAAAAAAGAUCUGCAGUUGGUUUAGACAGACAAAUCUAUAAUUCAGCUUUUUGUGUAUCAGCAUCACAACAAAAGUAAGUCAAGCUCAUUCGGUAACCAAACAAAGCUAAACAGUGAACAUCUUGAAAACAGAAUUAAAAAGAAACCAUAAUGAUGAUGUAUUUCAAAUGUAUUAGUCUCCGAUAAAAGCCAAAGAGUUGGUAAUAUUGAUUUGCUGUGAAUUGCAGCAGACACACAUUCUAGGUGCUUGCAGUUUCCUGACUGAAGGCAUUCAAUGCACAGUCAUAGAUUCACGUUAGUAUUCUUGCUAUAAGAAUGAAAAGUGGGGAUUUUUUUUCUUCUCAAAAGUUAUUCUACACAGAUCUACCAAUAAGUAGCUGAAGGGAAAAACCCAGUAAAUGAAGUCAUUCCCUUUCUAAGCUUAGAGGAAGUUUUCUUGCUUUUUUGUCUCUUUCCUUCCAGAGGACAGAUCAUGUUUGAGAUCGGUUUGCUCUCGGAAAUACUCCAGGAAGUGUGUUUUUCUUUCCUUAUCAGUUUUAAAAAGUUAAGUCUCUUGCCACAACAAACUCAACUUUGUGUUGUUCAGAUCAGAAUAGCUUUUGUAUCCCUUUUUAUGAACACUCAAUUCUAUUGCUCAGCGUGAAGUACAGCCCUUUUGUUGCUUCUAUUUUUAUUAUUAUUCUUUGACCUGUUAAGAUGUAUACAUACACACUCAUGUUUGCACUCUCACAGACACAUGCAUACCCCUAACAGUUCUGGGGGAAAGAACUGGAUAGAAAGAGACCACAAUACCUAUAAUACAUACCAUAAUUCACUGCAAUAUGAACUGUAAUAUAUUUGUUUGUUACCAGAAGUAAGAAUCUCAUUGAAAAAUAAAGAUCAUUUUGAAGCAGUGCUCUGUAUCCUUGCCAAGAGUAACACAGUAGUAGUUUAACAGGUUUUUUACUGGCAUAAGACAAAAAAGAAAAAAAAAAGCUACUUUUAAAGGUAACUGACAAUUAAGGUAAUGACUAUGUAAGACUUAGUUUCAGAGUAAUGUUUCGAAUGUAGUUUUUUUUUUUUUAAUAAAGCAAAGUUUCUAAAACCCAUACUCAAUUCAGUGUUUUUUGUUUUACUUUUUUAUUAUUUAAAUACACCAUACUAGAGCAAAUGUCUCUGAAAAUAUCACAAAUAAAAGAUUUUUCUUCAUUCAGCAAAUUAGAAGUAGGUGAAAAUUUCUACACAGUAGCUGCUAUGAGCCUGACUUUUUUUUUCCUUUUUCUCUUUUUUUUUUUGCCAUGGGAAGUAGCAACAUUAGGACAAAAACACUUACAUGCAUACAUACAUUGUAUUUUACA
Cygnus olor (mute swan) is the source of this 10902-nucleotide long non-coding RNA. RefSeq lists it as uncharacterized. The record is from RefSeq and is a predicted model, not a curated record. The transcript is spliced from 11 exons. Lineage: Eukaryota; Metazoa; Chordata; Aves; Anseriformes; Anatidae.